This 6490-nucleotide long non-coding RNA is filed under the name Vitis vinifera (wine grape). RNAcentral describes it as "long non-coding RNA (VVIN_LNC007471)". Lineage: Eukaryota; Viridiplantae; Streptophyta; Magnoliopsida; Vitales; Vitaceae. The record is from RNAcentral.
UCCUCUCUUCUCUCUUCUCUCUUCGGCCGCAGGUCUCCGAUGGCGCCGUUGACUCAGUCUGUCCUCAGCCUCCUCUCCGCCGCUUUCCUCCUUGGCUUCCUCUCUGAUCCGGCCGCUGCUCGUCCCUGCAAAACCCUUUUCAUCUCCUCCUACUCCGUAUCCUUCCACCCCAAUUUCCCCGAUCAAAAUAACCCUAACUCCGCAGGCACCGCCGGAAUUCUCACGAUUUUCACUGAGAUCCGGCAAUUUAACCCCCGUCCGCCGCUCACCUUCGUCGACGCCGUCGAGGAUCAGCACCCGAUCGAGCGUCCGCCGCGAUUUGGCCUCGGUCUAGGGUUCGACUCCGACUCCCUCCGCGACCGCACCAAGGACGUGCUCAGCGUUGUUGUGGCGCUGCUCUUCGGCGUCGGCUGUGGCGCUCUCACCGCCGCAACCAUGUACUUGGGUUGGUCGCUCUUCUCCAACCGCCACCGCUACUCCGACUUCGAUUACGAUGACUUUGAGGAUGAUGACGUUGACAUGAGCCCUAAGAAGGUGGGCUAUGUGAGGAUCCCUCCUCCUGCUGAUGCCUCUACUCCCGUGGCAAAAGAGGCGGUAUGAGGCACAGAAAAAUUAGGGUUUUAAUGCUUAAUGCCUAGUGUUUUGCGUUUCUGAACCAGGUGCUAUUUGCUAUGUUAUUAUGAAUUAUAUUGCUAAAAAUGUGGGUACUUAUAUGGUUUUGUGUUUCUCAAUCACAUCUAUAACUAUGCUUUGUGUAUAUUUAUCAUCUAAUACAUUGAAUGCUUGUUUUAUUUAAUUUUUUUCUUUCGCUUGGGCUUCGAUUAUUUGGAAGGAAAAAUUGUUCUCUGACAUAUGUUCGAUUAAUCUUCUUUUUUUUUUUGUAUGAGAAGCUUUUUGGUUGAAACAAAUGGGGCCUUGGUCUGGUUUCUUUUAUUUAAUUGCAGGUUGUAUACCUUAAGGUUGAUGGUGCGGUGAUUUUGUAGUUUUCCUAAAGUUGAUGAUUGCGUAAUUUUGCCCUUUUGUCGGAGUUUGUUGUAGUAGAUGAUGUUGUGAUUUUGUAGUUUUGCACGAAUGAUCGACUACUUUUUUCCAUUAUCUUUAUGUGUUGUGACCAAAUUUUUAACAUGCUUGAUUUUCAGCAAGUGUUUGUGAAAAUAGCAAGAUUUUGGCCAUAGGCUGUUUCAGGGAAGGGGAUUGCAUUUUCAUUUUAGUUUUCAUUCUUUUGCUUUACUCCCUUUAGCAGGUGAAGUAGUGACCAUGCGUCCUUUUGUUUUCCAUAAUGAGAUUGACUUGUAUUGAGAUAUAGCUAUUGGAUAUAUAUUUUUCGGGCACUUAAUAAUAUUAUGUUCAAUCUAUUGAUGAAAUUUAGUAAUAUAUAUAUAUAUAUAUAUAUACAUAUAUAUCUCAUAUGGAAAAUUGACACGACAUUGUCUUGUCAACACUUAUUGAUGGAACUGUUUUUCACUAAAAAAUUCCCGAGGCUGUACUCAUUUUUCUGGAGCUGCAACCACUCUCCAACUAUCAAAUGCCUCUUUCAGCUUCGAUUUAGAACUUAACUUUCUAAUAAGAGAUUUUUGUUGCAUAGAAACUUAAGGAUGGAUUCCUUAUGUUGCAUGAGCAUUCAAGGCAGAUCUUCAAAUCAACUUGGCUAUCAUUUUUCAAUUAUUUUUUUUAUGCUUUAUUUUACUUUUUAAAGAAAUUAUAUUAAUUUCCUUGUCUUUAUGUGGUAUAAAUGACCAGGAUUAUAAAAGAUUGAUAUAUUUUUAGUAAUGAGGAGCCUACAUUAUAUAUUAACAUAGGCUUCGAAUUGAAUUAAAGGCCUUUCUAGAAUCAGGGGUAGGAUUAUGUAUGGGAUAGUGUUCUUUCUAGGAAGAUUACUGUUCUUUCUAUUUUAGUUUUUUUUUUCUUUGGGGGGUUGGUUUGGUCGAGUAUUCUUCUGGUUUUGUACUUGUUUUCCUUCUUUGCAUCACCUCUAGUAGUCUUGUAUCUUGCAAUAGCAUCCCAAAUUCACAAUUACAUGUUUGGUGAUUUUCAUGUGGCUUUGCAUGUGUGGUUCCUAGUAGGAACAUUAGAAGGAAAGUGGCCAAUCUUUUUGACAGACCUGGUAAUACUGUAAUGAAGAGAAACAAAUAGAAAGGAGUAAAAGGAAAUCAACAAACACCUUGGUGUCAAUGUAACAUAGUAACUUUCCAUGACCAUACAGUAAAUCCGGUAAUCUUUCGGGGGUUUUAGCAUGUCCAUGAACUGUCUUAAAAUUCUAGAGUGGGACUUCCAGUUCAAGAUAAUGGCAAAAGUAACAGAAUGAUGUUAAGUGAAGUACUAACUGACUUGGAACUUCAUUGUCGUGGCUCCCUAAUUAUUAGGGAGCAGGUCUUAUAGUUUUUACAGUGGAGGUUAUUAUGCUUGGGAAAGGUUUCUCUAUCAUCCAAUAGUCAAUAAGGCCUGUUUUCUUAAUAGUUAAAGUGAUGUUGAGGGAGUCCUAGAGGCAUUUGAGCUAAAGAUUGGAGAUCAUGAUCUGUUGUACAAGAUGUUUGGAAGAUGCUCAAAGAACUGAUUCAGAGAUCAGGAUAUUUCAGACCUGUCCAGAAGGCAAUAUGGUUGCAUAUUUGAAGCCAAAUUAGGCACAGCUAGCUUAGGAAUUUUAUUUGGGCUUGCGGCUUUCCAAGUGGGGUCAUUCUGCAUCUUGCCCAUGAUCUUUUAGGCUGGGCGUUUCCCCAUUCUUUUUCUGUUUGUGAUGGGAUCUGUGAAAUGGUAUUUUAUGAAAGAAGAAAAUGCGACAAGCACAUAAUGAAGCUUUGUCUUAAAAAUUCUUUGAAAUUUUUAAGGGAACCUUUGAGGCAUGGAAAUAAUUAGCUGCAGAAGGUUUCUAUGGGAUUUACAGUCACAGAAGAAUGCAUUGAAAGUAUGUUCCAUCACUCAAAUGUUUGUCAUGCUGCUUGUAAUUCUAUUUCAGCCAGGAUUCUAUUGACUAUGCAGUAAAUACAUCAUUAUGCUCCGGUUGUUGGUGCUAGAAUUCCUUAUGGGGUUUGUCCAUUCAAAUUAGAUGUUGAGAUUUUUCCUUAUAAGAGAUAUCACUGUUUUGGCACAUUCAUUAGUUUGAGGUGAUUUUGACCUUUUAAUUAAUUGUAUUUUGGGAGUGCUUCUGAUGUCAAUGCAAUUAGUGGUUUUUGAUUAUCCUGAACUUGAUAAGGAGUUGUUUACCUGUAAUUUUGCUCGAACUGUUGCUUACACCAGUUGUUCAGGGUUAAACCAGCUUUGUUUCAGUAUUUUGCUUCAUUUAGGGCCUAAAUGUAUGCCAUACCAUACAUGGGUACUUUUAGGGUAAUGCUGACAAGGAGUUAACUAAAGGCUUCACUAGUUAUUAGCCUAAUAGAAACCUUUUCCUGUGUUGCUGUUGUUUAUCUACUCUAUUAGAGAUUGGAAUCUUUACAAUCUGUCUGCUCUGUGCUAAGAAUAACUUUCUUAGAGCCAAAUGCAGAUAAAUUGAGUGGAGAGAUCUACACCUGCACUUUCUGUUUUGUUGACUGAUUCGGCCUUUCUAAAUUUCCUUCAUGGUUGAGGCAAUUUGCAAGAUAAUUUCUGAGGUGGUGGUGGGGGCCCCUUGUUCCACAAUUUCCAUGUUUGUUUCCCCCUGAUUCUAAGUUGAAGUUUAGAGUAACUGUGGUUGAGUGGGUUGUAUUUGUCUUGAAAUUCGCAAUCUGAGAUGUAAUCUGGCAAAAUAAAUACUAGAUUUAGGUAGGUGGUGAACUCAUAGCAGCUGCUAAUAAGGACUCUUGCGUUCUUUUCAGUCAACUUUUAUGUGAGGCAUUAUGGAAAACUGUCUUGAGUCUCACUGGACUUCAUUUCCUGUUUGACUAUAAACUAGACAAUUAAUUUUCCACUUGGUGAAUAGAAAAAUAUACAGGGGAAAAAUAAUUUGGAUCUAGUAUUUGCCUCAUUUCCACUGAGAAAGCACUCCUUUGGCUAGCUUUGGGGAUUUGAUGAAUGGACAAUCUAGAGAGUUGCUGUGUUCUUAAAACAUUGGAUUCAAUUUAGAAUGCUGAGAUUUGAGUGAUCUUAUGUGCUGUUGGUGGUGCUUAUGCCAAUGUAAGGGAAAUAUGAUGCAGUGUUAGGAAUAGAAUUGAGAUGUGAAUAUGCAAUAGGAUUAUAUUUUGGGAGUAUGUGUGUGGAGCAAUAUGGCUCUGAUUGUGCUGACUUCGAAUGUAGGAGGUUGUUCAAGGAAAACAGGUUUUUGUUAUGUGUUUGUCAGGGUGAAUUGAAGAGACACAAGACUCUGUUGUCAUUCUUUCCUGUAGGAUUCAGCUGCAUAACCCCUGAUCUUAGUACUAGUACUGUGCUUCUCAUUCUACUCCAGUACACAGAGUUCGAGAUUUAGAUCUGAAUCUGUUGAUGUAUGAUAUGUCAAAAUCUUGAAGCAAUUGUCUUGAAAAGGAUUAGUGAUUAUAUGCGUUGCAUGCUGAAACUUCAAUAAGUAAAUUUAUACUCUGAAGAUCAUAAAGCAAAUGAAGCAAAUAUAUAAAAUAUAGCAAUGAUUCAAUUGUUAUACAGUUUCAAAAGAUCCAUCUAAAUAAUUAAAUCUAUAGAAUAUAGCAAAGUAUCCAUCUUGAAACAGGAAAAAACACAACCCCUUGUGCAAUCAAACUGCACAAUAGUGUUUGAAUGGAAACUAACCAUUCUGAAGCUCAAAUUGAUUGUACUGCCAUGUUUAUAUUGAUUAUUGUGAGCUAUAAUUGAUUAUGUAAGGAUGUUGGUGGCUGAUAAAAAAUUGAAAUGAAGCCUUAGAGUUGAAGGAGAGUUUUGGAAACUUUUACAAAUCUGUUUUGAAUGGGAAAGAAUAUUAAUUUUGUUUUUCUUAUUAUUAGUGGGAAAUCUUUGUUGGAUUUUUUUUUUUUUCUUUUCCUGAAAUUUUCAAUGUCUUUGUAGGGUAACUUCAUCCGAAGAAUCUUUUAUUGCUAUUCUGGAUUUUAAUUGCAGUAUAGGUAGGAUGCCCAAACUCAGACCCAAGUCCCCACUUGUCAGCAUUGUGAUGGACUCCAGCACAAUUAGUAUAGCAGGGGAAGGACAAUGGGAGCCUCUUGGCACCUUGAAUUUGCAUUUGGUCAAGUUUCAGUCAACAAUUUUUGCAGGCUGAUAUUUGACCAUCUGAGCAUGCAUUUGGUUUGUAACACAAGAUAUUGUACUGUUGACCAGCUGAGUAGGUAAUUGGUAAAGAGCACAUCCCUGGUAAUCCCACUGUUUAUUCCUUAUUUUAUGCAAGGCAUUUUCUGUUAGUCCAGGGUCGAGGCUGCUUCUCAUUCCCCUGCUUUUGUUUCCUUGAAAAUGGCUUUGUUCCUAUGGACCAUUCUGCUUUCUUGUAUUAUCAAGUGCAAUCUGCAUUCUUGUAUUAGAAGAAUGAGGACAUUAAGGAACUGAAGCACCACAAUAAGAUGUCAUGUUCCCCUUUAGUUUCUAGAUGUGCCUCAGCUGUUAGUCUCUUUAUGCUAUGCAUAUUCAUAUUGUUCCCACCCUCUUUGGGCCUCUCACUCAGAAAUUUGCUCAUUAUCUGCCAAACUCCUCCAACCCCCAAGAUGAGAAUUUCAGUUUUCUACAUCCUGAAAUCAUAAGGCACUGAGUUAUGCAAACUAGGGGGAAGAGAGCUGUAUAUGGUUAAAUGCUGAAAAGCUGUGCUUGUUUUGGGUAGCAUAACUAGAACUAAAACAAAGCAAAUAGCAUCUUCUUUUCAAUAGCCCCCACUAGUCUUUUCAAGUGUUUACAUACCUACAUUUUGAUUUGCCUUGGCAUUUGAAUGGCAUAACAAAGCUGCUGAUGCUGCCCCUUCAUGACCAUUAACAUAAACCCUUGCGAGCUACACUUGCUAUUCUUUCUGCUAAUUUCUAGUUUCAAAUGCAACAAAAGGUCAAAAUAGGUCUGUAUGAUUUGCUGGAUAUUAGAGAAGCCAUGUAGUUGAUUUGCUCAAUUGUGUCUUUAUCCGUUGAAGAAAUACAGUUUCUAACAAGAUGAAUUAUAUCUUCACGAACUUACAACACUAGAUGAGCCUUAAGAUUUCGAGAACUCCUCUGUUAAGCACUGGAAAUACACUAAUUAAUUGUAUGAACGUAUUUUUUUUUAGAAAUUUGUUAGUUGGGGGGAUCGCAGAUCGAUUAGGAAAAGAUGUUUUCAGCAUUUCUACUGUGCUUUAUUUUUUAAGCUUAUAGAAGUAUUUUAAAGCUACUGGGAUUUUGAACAUAUGAGAGGAGUUUUAGAUUAAAAAUAAAUUAACUAUUUUAACUUAAUAUUUAAAAUUAUUUUUAUUUUAAAUUAUAAUAUUAAGUUUUUUUACCAAUCGCAGUUAAUAUAUUUAAUGACUUAAAUUAAGUCAUUAAACCAUUAAGUUGAUUUACCAAACAAUUCACUAAAUGUCACAAAACCAUACCAAAAACAAGCAUUCCACACUAUGUGUAAUGAGAAAGCAUAAAUUGCCUGAUCAUUAGCUUCCAUACACUCUCAUUGC